RNAcentral lists this ribosomal RNA (487 nucleotides) under uncultured bacterium. RNAcentral's name for it is "bacterial SSU rRNA". It matches the Rfam family "Bacterial small subunit ribosomal RNA", at positions 29 to 507 of the family's 1533-position model. The record is from RNAcentral.
AUGAACGCUAGCGGCAGGCUUAAUACAUGCAAGUCGAGGGGCAGCAUGACUGUAGCAAUACAGUUGAUGGCGACCGGCAAACGGGUGCGGAACACGUACAGAACCUUCCUUCGAGCGGGGAAUAGCCCAGAGAAAUUUGGAUUAAUACCCCAUAGUAUAUUAGAGUGGCAUCACUUUGAUAUUAAAGAUUUAUCACUUGAAGAUGGCUGUGCGGCUGAUUAGGUAGUUGGCGGGGUAACGGCCCACCAAGCCUUCGAUCAGUAACUGGUGUGAGAGCACGACCAGUCACACGGGCACUGAGACACGGGCCCGACUCCUACGGGAGGCAGCAGUAAGGAAUAUUGGUCAAUGGACGAAAGUCUGAACCAGCCAUGCCGCGUGGAGGAUGAAGGUCCUCUGGAUUGUAAACUUCUUUUAUAUGGGACGAAAAAAGGGUUUUCUAACUCGUCUGACGGUACCAUAUGAAUAAGCACCGGCUAACUCCGUG